GACGAACGCUGGCGGCGUGCUUAACACAUGCAAGUCGUACGGUAAGGCCCUUUCGGGGGUACACGAGUGGCGAACGGGUGAUUAACACGUGAGUAACCUGCCCACAACUUUGGGAUAACGCUAGGAAACUGGUGCUAAUACUGGAUAUGUGCUCCUGCUGCAUGGUGGGGGUUGGAAAGCUCCGGCGGUUGUGGAUGGACUCGCGGCCUAUCAGCUUGUUGGUGGGGUAGUGGCCUACCAAGGCGGCGACGGGUAGCCGGCCUGAGAGGGUGACCGGCCACAUUGGGACUGAGAUACGGCCCAGACUCCUACGGGAGGCAGCAGUGGGGAAUAUUGCACAAUGGGCGCAAGCCUGAUGCAGCAACGCCGCGUGCGGGAUGACGGCCUUCGGGUUGUAAACCGCUUUCAGCAGGGACGAAGCUUUUUGUGACGGUACCUGCAGAAGAAGCACCGGCUAACUACGUG
RNAcentral lists this ribosomal RNA (465 nucleotides) under uncultured bacterium. RNAcentral describes it as "partial 16S ribosomal RNA". It matches the Rfam family "Bacterial small subunit ribosomal RNA", at positions 28 to 507 of the family's 1533-position model. The record is from RNAcentral.